GUAGAGCGUUUCCUGCUCGCAGAGCUCGAGCACCAUCGCGAGCGAGUCCUCGGUCUCGAAGACGUUAAAGAGCUUGAGAACGUUGGGGUGCGGAGACAAAAGGGUCAUUAUCUUGGGCUCCUUCUCGAGGCACGCGCGGUCGGUUUCGUCGGUAAGGACCGAUUUGUCGAUGAUCUUGCAUGCGACGAACUCGGCCGAAUCCGGCGAGAAGGCUCGUACGAUCGUGCCGAACCGGCCGCGGCCGAUUUCUUCGAAGAGCUGGUAGGAGUUCUUCAAUGUGUCGUACAUUUGGGGGGAUUUUUCGAUUAAGGCCGUGUUUGGGUGGUGAAGUUUUGGGCUUUUUUUUGUUGUUGCAG
Molecule: long non-coding RNA, 356 nt
Filed under: Malus domestica (apple)
Lineage: Eukaryota; Viridiplantae; Streptophyta; Magnoliopsida; Rosales; Rosaceae
Description: long non-coding RNA (MDOM_LNC011680)
Source: RNAcentral